AUUAGAGUUUGAUCCGGCUCAGAACGAACGCUUGCGGCGUGCUUAACACAUGCAAGUCGAACGAGAAAGGGGACUUCGGUUCCUGAGUAAAGUGGCGCACGGGUGAGUAACGCGUAGAUAAUCUACCCUAGUGUACGGGACAACAUCGGGAAACUGGUGCUAAUACCGAAUACGCUUCUUUAAAUGCGAAUUUUUAGAAGGAAAGAUGGCCUCUUCAUGAAAGCUAUUGCACAAGGAUGAGUCUGCGUACCAUUAGCUAGUUGGUGGGGUAAUGGCCUACCAAGGCUUCGAUGGUUAGCGGGUCUGAGAGGAUGAUCCGCCACACUGGCACUGAAACACGGGCCAGACUCCUACGGGAGGCAGCAGUGAGGAAUUUUGCACAAUGGACGCAAGUCUGAUGCAGCCAUGCCGCGUGCAGGAUGAAUGCCCUAUGGGUUGUAAACUGCUUUUAUAUAGGAAGAACUCCUCCUAACGUGUUGGGAGCUGACGGUACUGUAAGAAUAAGCAUCGGCUAACUCCGUGCCAGCAGCCGCGGUAAUACGGAGGAUGCAGGCGUUAUCCGGAUUUAUUGGGUUUAAAGGGUGCGUAGGCGGGUUAAUAAGUCAGUGGUGAAAUCCCUCAGCUCAACUGAGGAACUGCCAUUGAUACUGUUAGUCUUGAGUAUAGUUGAGGUGGGCGGAAUGUGUCAUGUAGCGGUGAAAUGCAUAGAUAUGACACAGAACACCGAUUGCGUAGGCAGCUCACUAAACUAUCACUGACGCUGAGGCACGAAAGCGUGGGUAGCGAACAGGAUUAGAUACCCUGGUAGUCCACGCCGUAAACGAUGAUUACUCGUUGUGUGCGAUAUAUUGUACGCGACUGAGCGAAAGCAUUAAGUAAUCCACCUGGGGAGUACGAUCGCAAGAUUGAAACUCAAAGGAAUUGACGGGGGCCCGCACAAGCGGAGGAACAUGUGGUUUAAUUCGAUGAUACGCGAGGAACCUUACCUGGGCUUAAAUGUAGAAUGACUUUUGCCGAAAGGCAAUUUUUCUUCGGAACGUUUUACAAGGUGCUGCAUGGUUGUCGUCAGCUCGUGCCGUGAGGUGUCGGGUUAAGUCCCAUAACGAGCGCAACCCUUAUCAUUAGUUGCCAUCGGGUCAUGCCGGGGACUCUAAUGAGACUGCCAGUGUAAACUGUGAGGAAGGUGGGGAUGACGUCAAAUCAGCACGGCCCUUAUGUCCAGGGCUACACACGUGCUACAAUGGCCAGUACAGAGGGUCGCUACCUGGUGACAGGAUGCUAAUCUCGAAAGCUGGUCUCAGUUCGGAUUGGAGUCUGCAACUCGACUCCAUGAAGCUGGAAUCGCUAGUAAUCGCACAUCAGCCAUGGCGCGGUGAAUACGUUCCCGGGCCUUGUACACACCGCCCGUCAAUCCCUGGAAGUUGGGGGUACCUAAAGUCCGUAACCGCAAGGAACGGCCUAGGGUAAAACCAAUGACUGGGGCUAAGUCGAAACAAGGUAGCCGUAAAU
RNAcentral lists this ribosomal RNA (1509 nucleotides) under uncultured prokaryote. RNAcentral's name for it is "partial 16S ribosomal RNA". It matches the Rfam family "Bacterial small subunit ribosomal RNA". The record is from RNAcentral.